RNAcentral lists this ribosomal RNA (1297 nucleotides) under metagenome. RNAcentral describes it as "bacterial SSU rRNA". It matches the Rfam family "Archaeal small subunit ribosomal RNA", at positions 141 to 1445 of the family's 1478-position model. The record is from RNAcentral.
UGAGGUUGAUACCGGAUAUGGGAAUAUGUUUGGAAUGAUUUUUCUUUGAAAGAUUAUGCCAUAGGAUGAGUCGGCGGCGGAUUAGGUUGUUGGUGGGGUAAUGGUCCACCAAGCCGAAGAUCCGUAGGGGCCUUGAGAGAGGUAGUCUUGAGAAGGACAUUGAAAUAUUGGUCCUAGCCCUACGGGGUGUAGUAGGCGUGAAAUUUUUACAAUGUAGGGAAUUGUGAUGGGGGAAUCCCAAGUGCCUACAUUAAGUGUAGGCUUUUGUUAAAGGUAAAAAUUUUGGAGAAUAAGUGGUGGGAAAGACUGGUGUUAGUAGUUGUGGUAAUUCCAGUGCCACAAGUGGCAAUCACAUUUAUUGGGCCUAAAGCGUCCGUAGCCGGUUUGGUAAAUCUUAUGUGAAAUCGUCAUGUUUAAUGUGACGGUGUGCACAAGAUAUUACCAGACUAGGGACCGGGAGGAGUCAGAGGUAUGCCGGGGGGAGCGGUAAAAUGCUAUAAUCCCUGGUGGAUUAUUUGUGGUGAAGGUGUUUGACCGGAAUGGAUUCGACGGUGAGGGACGAAAGCUAGGGGAGCGAACCGGAUUAGAUAUCCGAGUAGUCCUAGCUGUAAACGCUGCGAGCUAGGUGUUGCGCAUUCUUCGAGAAUGCGCAGUGUCGAAGCGAAGGUGAUAAGCUCGCCGCCUGGGAAGUACGGUCGUAAGACUGAAACUUAAAGGAAUUGGCGGGGGAGUACUACAAGGGGUGCGGCGUGCGGUUUAAUUUAAUUUAAUGUAGAGAAUUUCACCAGGGGCGACGGCAGUAUGAAAGAUAGUUUAAAGGGUUUUUUUGAUGAGCCGAGAGGUAGUGCAUGGCCGCCGUUAGUUUGUGCUGUGAAGUGUUUUGUUAGGUUAGGUAAUGAGUAAGACCUGUACUCACAAUUGCUAGUGAUGGGUUUUUGGAUUGAGUAUAUUGUGAGGACUGCCCGUGAAAAUGGGAGGAAGGUGCAGGCAACGGUAGGUCUGUAUGCUUCGAAUCUCCUGGGCAACAUGCGCGCAAUAAUGGUAGGGAUAAUGGGAUGCAAUUCCGAAAGGAGGAGUUAAAUUUUUAAACCCCAUCUCAGUCCAGAUCGAGGAUUGUAAUUUAUCCUCGUGAUGUUGGAAUCCCUAGUAAUUGGAUGUUAAUAUCAUCCAGUGAAUUUGUCCCUGCUCCUUGCACACACCGCCCGUCAAACCACUCGAGUAGAGUUUAGGUGAGUUGUUGUUUUAUUGAUGUUGUUGAAUUUAAGUUUAGUGAGAUGGGUUAAGUCGUCACAAGGUA